CGCCUGCCCAGUGAACUUUUAACGGCCGCAGUAUCCUAACCGCGCGAAGGUAGCAUAAUCACUUGUUCUUUAAAUGGGGACUUGUAUCAACGGCAUCACGAGGGUUUUACUGUCUCCUCUUUUAAAUCAGUGAAAUUGAUCUUCCCGUGAAGAAGCGGGAAUACCCCUAUAAGACGAGAAGACCCCAUGGAGCUUUAAACCAAAUAGCAACUUAACUAUAAACCCCCUCAUAGUUCCAUAAAGCCAUGCUAUAAGGUUUUUGGUUGGGGUGACCGCGGAGUAAAAUGUAUCCUCCACGACGGAAAGGCCACAAUCUUUAUUUAUGAACCACAAUUCUAAAAACUAGCACACUAACGUACACUGACCCGAUAAUCGAUCAACGGACCAAGUUACCCUGGGGAUAACAGCGCAAUCUACUUCGAGAGCCCAUAUCGACAAGUAGGCUUACGACCUCGAUGUUGGAUCAGGGUAUCCCAGUGGUGCAGCCGCUACUGAAGGUUCGUUUGUUCAACGAUUAAAACCCUACGUGAUCUGA
RNAcentral lists this ribosomal RNA (535 nucleotides) under Polypedates maculatus (spotted whipping frog). RNAcentral describes it as "partial 16S ribosomal RNA". It matches the Rfam family "Bacterial large subunit ribosomal RNA", at positions 1856 to 2608 of the family's 2925-position model. The record is from RNAcentral. Lineage: Eukaryota; Metazoa; Chordata; Amphibia; Anura; Rhacophoridae.